UUCCAGCUCCGGCUCCGAAACCUUCCCCGUGCCCAUUUUCGCCACCUCCUCCACCUCCACCUCCACCGCCACCGCCACCACCGCCGUUGUCACUUAUACCAACUCCAGCUCCCGAACCUUCCCCAUGUCCAUAUCCCCCAUUGUCAGCAUCACCACCUCCUCCUCUUUGGCCGCCACCAGCUCCGUUAUAUCCAAAGAAGCUCCCACAACUUCGCCAGUUUUGAUAGCAAUUUUCUUCAUUUGGCCAAUUGCCCGGUUCACCGCUACAGAGGAGAGUAGCUGAGACUAAAAUAAGCAUAAGAAGAAGAGUCUUAUUUUUGCUGCUAGAAAGUCCCAUACUAAACUAUAUAAUUGCAAGUUAAUAAUGUAUGUAGUACGUUUUAGAGGCUUUUGGGGGACGGGAAUACCAAACUAGACGUACUACUGAUCAUGAAUGGGAUGGGAGUAUAUAUUAUCUAAUCGUCUCUUAUUUAUAUACCCAUGAAGCACUACUCCAUUCACCUAUGACCUACCUCUACCAGGC
This 523-nucleotide long non-coding RNA is filed under the name Linum usitatissimum (flax). RNAcentral describes it as "long non-coding RNA (LUSI_LNC005369)". The record is from RNAcentral. Lineage: Eukaryota; Viridiplantae; Streptophyta; Magnoliopsida; Malpighiales; Linaceae.